UUGCAUUAGAAUUAGAAUCUAACUACACUAAAAUCACUCCCCCUAAUAUACUUUUAACAAUC
Molecule: transfer RNA, 62 nt
Filed under: Nesticus sp. 'Cow Shelter Cave'
Lineage: Eukaryota; Metazoa; Arthropoda; Arachnida; Araneae; Nesticidae
Source: RNAcentral